Molecule: long non-coding RNA, 39037 nt
Filed under: Citrus x clementina
Lineage: Eukaryota; Viridiplantae; Streptophyta; Magnoliopsida; Sapindales; Rutaceae
Description: Citrus clementina (C. clementina) long non-coding RNA (CCLE_LNC002307)
Source: RNAcentral
AUCUUCUUCAAGGCUUGGAAGCUCACCUCCUAUUGUUAAUCCUUGAAGAGAGGUCAGAUUGUGCAAUCCCUUGGGUAAGGCCUCUAGUCUCUUACAAUCGUAUAUCUUCAGCCUCUUGAGUUUUGCACAAGGCAAUCCCCCACAACUCCUAAUACUAAUCUCUCGAAGCUGGCGGAGAUUACGUAAACCACUCGGUAAAAUUUUCAGAUUUCCACAAUUAGCAAUCCCGAUUUCUUCAAGAGAUGAGUUGUUGUCCAACCUUUCUGCUAUUGACUCCAGCUUUGAACAUUUAUAAACAUAAAGGGACUUAAGAGACGGAGGUAGAUUGCCAACUUCAAGGGACUCAAGCAUGGCAGGUAACUCGUUUUUUGAAUAUAUACAUGUCAAAGAUGGACAACGGCUAAUUUCUAACUUCUCAAUAAGAGAUGAGUUGUACCUUCCGCUGCUGCUGCUACUCUGGAUGACCUCUUCCACUGUCAAAGUCCUUAUAUUAUCGCAACGCCAGAUCGUCAACUUCUUAAGGCUCGAUGGUAGCUGGACAGCAGCAAUAUAUGUCAACGAACGGCAACCCUCAAUAUACAAGAUCUCGAGAGACGAAUUGGUGUCGCACAUCCAUGCCUCUGGUAACGAUUUCAGUGCAUCACAUUCUCUAAUCUGAAUUUUCUUCAACUUGGAAGGCAGAGCAACCUCAGGAAAGGAAACAAGGGAACUGCAGCCGUAGAAUUCUAUCUCUCUCAAGGAACUGAGGCUGAACGAUGAUUGUGGCAGCUUCACAAGGCCUUCGCAAUAAGUCAAUCUUAGAUAUUCAAGUCUGCAUGACAACUCGCACAGCUGCUGUUGUUGGUCUUUCUCUUCCUCCGCCACCAAGGAUUGAAGUUUGGGACAGCUUGUAAUCGUCAGUCUUUUGAGAGAGCAAAUGUCUUGCAGUAAUUCGUUAUGACUCUUCCAUAUAUAUGUUUCAUUUUUAAUAUUUUUUAUCCACAAUUCUUCCAGUUUUGGUAUUCGCGGCCUCAAUGGCCCUGCGAGAAACACUUGAUUUGAUGUAUCUCUACAAACCACUGAAUUCUGUGACCCGAGAUGAUCAGUUGCACUUCUCCACACAACCUUUUUACAUCCACCAAUAUGCAAGUUGCAAACAGCUGGAAGACUCGUAACUGAAACUGACAAUUCUUCACAUCCUUCAAUUACAAGCAUCUCCAAUGCAGGAAGGUGUUCUGGAAAUGUUCCUUGCAGCUUAGAACAACUUACAAUAUGAAGCUCUCUCAAUUUAGGAAACCCUUUAACUCCCUGACCAGAGCUAAGAGGAAUCCAAUCUUCCCAUUCUUGCAUGUCUUCAAAAUAAAGAGUUUCCAAGCAUGGAAAAGGAAUCGGAGAAUCAUUCCCAUAGAACUCUGAACCCAAACUCUUUACUCUACUCAUUCCACGCACUGCAAGAUGCUUUAGAGAAGGUAGUUGCCCGACUGACGGCAGGGUAGUACACACGUCACAAUCUUUAAAUUUUAAGGUCGCUAAAUUUGAGAAUGAGGAAUCUCCCAACCAAGUUGGAAAUUCUUUACCUCCAUAGCCACCGAUAUAAAAUUGUUCCAGAUUUUCAUGAGGUUUUAGCAUGUCGAGCACAUCCUUUUCAGUUUCUGCCUCCCUUGAAGACAAACCAUUGGUACUCCGUGUCCAUCGAAACUUUAACACUUUAAGAUUCUUCUUUCCAUCCAAUUGAGCCUCCUUCGCAUCACCAAUGUCUUUUACGUUCUCCAAUUUUGAAAUGUUAAGCGUCCCACGAAGAUGCGUCAACAAUUUUAGCUCUCGUAUCCCGGAACUACUGUCUUUUCCCACAACAAAAUUACACAGCGUCUGAAGGCAAGUCAACUUAACAAUUCCUAGUGGCAUCUCCUCCAAUGAAUCUGUCUUUGAAUUAUUGAGAUGAUGCAAUUUGAUGAGAUUUCCCAUGUCUGCACACAACUUCUUCAGUCGCCGACAGCCCUCCAACAGAAGGGUGUGCAAAUUGUAAAGCGUGUUGACUGAUUCAGGCAGAGUUCUAAUCUCAGUUUCAGAUAGGUUGAGGUACCUUAAAUACCUCAAAUCACCAAUUGAAUCCGGUAGCUCAGAGAUUUGAUAUCCAUGCAGUGAGAAGACCCUCAACCGUUGGAGUUUGAACAACUUAGGAAGAAUGCUACGAGCCAAGUAUCCACGCGAACUAUUUAUCAACAUUACUGGUAAAAAGGUUCGCAAAUGUUGGAUAUCGUACAAAUCCUCAAACCUUUUACCUCCAUCAAAAUAUUCAGGAAUGUAUGACAGAUGACGAAGAUUUUUGGAAAAACUUUGUUGCUUGUUAACCUCUGAGGUAUACUCCAUUGUGAAGUAUAUUUCCCCCGCAGCCCAUUGAGCAAGGUCGCUGAUAAGAUCGUGCAUCACAAAUCGUGAUGCAUCGUUGCUUGAUUGCUGGAAAAAAGAUCUUGAGUGCAGCUCCUUAAAGAUCUUACGACUGAAAUCGUCACAAGAAUUCCCACUCCCUUUGUGAUCCAAGAAAUCCGAAGCACACCAUAAUAAAAUUAUCUCCUCCUCUUCAAAUUCAUAAUCCUUUGGAAACAAUGAGCAGUAUGCAAAGCAUUGCCUCAAAGUUGGAGGAAGAUAAUAAUAGCUCACUGCAAGGGCUGGUAUAAUGCCACAUCUCUCUUCUGGUAAUUCCCAUAUCUUGCUACUGAGCACAUCUUCCCACUCACUUCUGUCAUGAUUCCCACGUAAAAGUCCUCCAAGUGUUUGUGCUGCCAAGGGCAAGCCAUCGCAUUUGGUCACUAUCUUCUUGCCGAUUUCCUCCAGUGACUUAUGUGAACUGAUAUCUCUUGUCCCCAAUGAAUGUUCAACGAAUACAGCUAGACAAUCAUUAUCUGACAACUUCUUUAGUUGAUAAGUCGGAACAGUACCCAUAAUUUUAGCAACCUCUUGAUUGCGAGUAGUGACAAUAAUUUUACUUCCUGGUGCGCCAACUUCAAAUGGACGUCUGAGUUGAUCCCAAUCAUCGUAAUUCCGGUUCCACACGUCAUCUAAAACAAGCAAAAAUUUCUUUCCAGAUAGUUGCUUAUUCAGUUUCCCUUGAAGUGAAUUCAAGUUGAGAUUAUCUACGUUCUGGUCAGUAACAAUGGAUGUUAAGAUUGUUUUUGUUAGCCUGAUAACGUCGAAAUCAUCAGAGACACAAGUCCAUGCCUUGAGAUCAAAAUGAUCCAGCACUUGCUUAUCAUUGUAGACAAGUUGAGCAAGAGUGGUUUUGCCCAGCCCGCCCAUACCUACAAUAGGUAUAACAGAGAAUCCACCAUCGUUGCUUAAAUCAUCCCUCAACAGCAGUUCAAUAACAUCCUUCUUUUCGAUUUCCCUGCCAUAUACUUUGGCUUCCUUCACCAAAGAGGUUGUCUCUCGCCUUUUCCUGUCUUUUGUGGUCCUCCCACCCGAACUUACAUUCAAACCCAGCGAGUCCUUCUGUGUUACAAUAUCUUGAAAUCUGCCAUUGAUCUCUUUGAUUUUGGACAUCAUGGCGUAAUCGAACUGAAUCGAUUGUGGAGUAAAAGUGGUGCAGCAAGUAGGAAUGAGCUUCCGAAACUUACUUGUUCUUGUACGACUGCUACUGGGUUGAUCGUGAGCCGCAGCUGGAUCUCCAUUUCCAAGCAGCAACUUCCUCCGGAAAGCCUCAGUUUGAAACUCAUCCAGCAAGUCUUCAACAUCAAAAGCCAAGUUCUGAAGCUCGCCAAGCCAGAACUUUACAGACUGAUCAGUCUUCUUCUCCUCAGCAUCAGCAAGCACCGCCUUGAUUAUCACCAACAUAUUCUUCCACUUCUUUAGGUCGGCUUGGAUUUGCUCUUGGCUUGCAAACAGCCGAAUCCCCUCUGAAGCUAACUUAUUGACCAGCAAAUCAACGGACGCCGUUAGGAUUGCCUCUCCGAUGAAUGACAUAUUUUUUUUCUUUUUCUUUUUCUUUUUUUUUUGGUUUUGCAAAGAAAGAAAGGAGCAGAAUUAUGGGUUAUGGAAAGCAGAAUGAGAAAAUGGAACAGGUGAGAAAAUGGAUAAUUAAGCAGAAUGAGUUUGUGAUUGUGAAGGGUCUGGCCCAGCAAGCUUAGUAGAAAUCACGCGUUGAUACUUUAUUGACCAAUGACUAAUAAUUUGGCAAUUCACUCAUCACCACCACUUGGUAAGCAAAAUGAAAAUGCUUAGUAAUUAAGUGUCAAGGGUCAAGCAAAAUACGACGUAAAAUGUGUCAAGGGUCUCCCCACUUGUUGUUCCUUGCAGCUUAGAAAAGAAGAACAGAGCCCACCACCCAUUAAUAUUUAGCAAUUCACCAAUCAUCACCACUUGUUACGAAACCAUCUCAUAAACCAAGUUCAAUCAAAACUCCUAAAACGUUUCUUUUUAGAAAUAUUUUACUUUAUUCAUCUAAUAUGUUAUCUAACAAAUAGACACAAUUGAAAUCACUCUAAAGUGAAGAUGAAAGGGGAAAAAAAUAACCUUCCAACCACCAGUAAUUUAGCAAGCUUCACUUUAUUCCACCAAAGUGUAAAUAAAGCCAGCCCCCACCACCAUCAAUAAUUUUGCAAGCUUCACAGGCUUGUUGUCUUCUCCUUGACGAACUGGACAUGAGUGGACCAAGAAUCAAUGACAGAAUUUUAAAAAUAAUAAUAUGAGAAAAACCUAAACAUUUUCGACUUAGAGUAGAACCGUAAUUAAUGCUAAAAUCUACUCAGCUAACAUUUUCAAAAUAUUGUUCUUUAUGAUUUUCAAAACCGUGAUUAAGUUUUAUCUCAAAUGUUUGAAGAGAGUCUAUCAGUUCUUCUACGCUAAGAAUCUCAAAAUUCUUACUUUUUCUUCAAACGUUGAAUAUUGAAAAAAAAAAGUUGAAUAUGAAAGAAAAUAGAAUGCAUCCAUCUUCGCUGUAGAAGUCUUCUACUUAUAAAAGUAAGUUAGAAUAAACGAUUUUAAUCUCUCUUUUUAUUCCUGUAAGUGCACUACAUUUUUUUUUUAAUCUCAAUGCGAAAAUUUUAGAUAAAACAAAUUCGACUCAUUUUUUAAAGGUAUAUAUUUAGUAGGUUACUAACAUAACUAACAAAACGUGAUUAUUACACUAAAUAAAAUAAAAGACAGUACUAUCACCAAUAAUUUAGCAAGUUUCGCAUGCACGUGUUUCUAGAAAUACUAUAUGGAAUCAAACAACGGUGAUACAAAGAGAAAAGUGGAAAUCCUCUGAUUGUAUUUUUUUUUUCUUUUUCAAAAGAAAUGGUGGGGUUGGUUUGUUUGCAAAGUUAUUAGCGUGGGUCUAUUUGUUUUUGUUUUAACUUUAUUAAUCAAUAAGCAAACAUGUAAUGAUUUGUAUAUAUCACUAGCAUCACAUUAUUGGGAGGUAUUGCGCUUAGUAUUCAUAAUGUUUGUAAGAUGAAUUUGUAAGACUUAUUAAUUUUGAUGAAAAUGUAUCGGUAUUAAGAUAUUAUUUAAUUCAUUAAGUUAACUUGAGGUAUUAAUAUUCACUGAUUGUGGUGCUGAUUAAUUUACUUAACUUGUCACUAUUUACAAUUAAGAAUGAGGUUCAAUCAAUUUAUUGGGAAAAAAAAUAAAGAUUUGAUUUUAAUUCUUAGGAUUUGAUUUCGCUCUCUUUCGCUUUUUUACGUUGCUAAAGAGGCAGUAAAAAGCUUGCUGAAUGUCAUCAAAUGCUUGUAUCUCAUCUCACAAAUUGACAAUAUUUGUUUGGUAUUUCAUCUCAACGGAUGCAGUAAGAAUUGCCUCUCCGAUGACUGACAUUUUUUUUUCUUUUUUCCGGCAAAGAACGAAACAGAAUUUUGAGUUUCGAAAAGCAAAAUGAGAAAAUUGAGCAAUUCACCAAUCGGUCAAGCAAAAUGUGCGUAACAAAUCUUCCGCUUGUUGUUUAGUCCAGUAAAGUGAGAAUAAAAACAGAGCCCACCACCCAUUAAUAAUUGAGCAAUUCACCAAUCACCAGUCGCCACCACUCGUUACCAUGAAUAUAAUAAAUUGCAUCUUGAUAUUUGCAGCGUCCAGCAACAUUGACCCAGUGUCCGGGUAAAUGCUGAAUAACGAGGAAAAUGGAAUGUAUCCGCUACGAACCUUCGCUUUAAAGUCUUCAAACUCAUAAACCAAGUUAAAUCAAAACGUUUAUCUCUCUCUCUCUUUUUGCCAUAUAAUUACUUUAUUUAUUGAAUUAAUUUCCAUGCUAAAAGGAAGACUUAAAACUGCACUACAAUUUUUUAUAAUCACAAUGGUAAUUUCUACUAUCAUGUUAUUUUAAUGUCGUGCUAAAAUAAAUUAUUAUAAAGUUUUUUUUAUGAACACUCUUUUCAUUUAUAAAUUUAUAAAUUUUUAAUAUUUUUCUCACUCUUUUAGUCUUAAUAUUUGUAUUUCUCUCUUCAAACUUUCUUUAUUAUUUAAUUUUUAAAGAAAAAUAUAAAAAAAAAGUAAGAAAAAUAUUAUACUUAAAAAAUAGUGAAUAUUUUAUGGGUCUAAUACAAGCCAGUAUUGUUUUUGACAAUGAAAGAGCACGCGAAAAAUCUCACUCAUAGAAAACUUUGUGAAAGGCAUUUGAAUGUGUGGCCACAUUUUCCGAACGAAACGAUAAGGUUUUAGCCUUCUAAUUGCAAUUAGUUUGUCUUGUAACUAAAUUAUUGCCGACAAACACCAUCAUGCUGACAAACCGUGCAUGCACGUCCUCUACUUGUGUAAAAUUCCCAUAUUUCCCAUUACUUCCCGUACUUUAUGCAUUAUUGUUUUGUAUGUCUUUUUGGUGUUUACGGUGUAGUUAGGGAUGGUAGCGGGUAGGGUCUGGUACGGGUUUGACAUCACCAAACCCGCAUCUACAAAAAAUUUUAAUUACGUAAUUCAAAUUAUAAAUUUAUAACUGUUGCCUAAAAAAAACCACAUAAAAUACUUAAUUCUAGAUUUUAUCAAUGUAAAUGAGAAAUGAAAAUAUCAACAUUAAAACAAAUACACAAAAUAUAUCAAUUUAACACGAAUUCUCAAAUUCAAUUAGCAAAUAAAUAAGUCAAUCACAGCUCGAAGUGCUUUCAAUUUAAAAAAAAAAAAAAGAAAGAGAAAAAAACAAAGAACUACAAAUCAAAGUAGCACCCAGACCUAUUUCAUAGGCUCAUUCGACACUAAGAUCUUAGAAUUAAGAUCUUCAAUUCAUUCAUUACCACUAGCACCCAUUCAAAGUGGUUUUUCUAAGCAAAAUAUAAAGUACAAAAUUACAAUAAGCAUAUGAUACUCCAUGCUUUAAGUUAAAGGUCCUUAUAUAAUUUUAUGAAUAAUGUUUUAGUGAAAUUUUAUGAUUAAAGUUAAAAAUACACAAAUAUUAAAAUAAGAAUGUUGGACACCUACGCAAUUAUUUGCCAAAUUUUUUCUCUAUAAAAAUUCACUUGCAACUUGCAGCAGGUUUAAAUUUAUAAUAUCAAACUUGAUUGUAGCUCGCAAAAUUUUUAGAUUUGCAAUCAUUUUACCACCCUAAGUGUAGUUAGUAUUGUAUAUCGUGUGUUUCCAAUUGGCUCUUAUAAAAAGCCUAGAAGUUGUUUGAAUAAUGAGGGAGACAAAUAUUUCCCAAACAUAUUCUCUUUUUCAAAUUUUUUUCUUUUCUCUAUUAUUGUAACUUCAAAUCCUUAAAAAUUACAUAUUACAGACAUGAACACAAUGUUUUGACAUAGUGGCUUUUGGCUUGUCCAGAGAAAUUUAGGAUAGAUUUUGAUGUACUAAGGCUCUGUUUACUAUUGAGAUUUUGGAACUUUUGAGCCACACUUGAAAUUUGUUUAAUUCUAAUAGAGUUGUAGCCUUCGAUAUGUGCUUGGUAUUAAUCAAGUGUUAUGUUUACAGCAGUUAAAGGCAUAUUGAAUCAAAGUCCACUUUUGAUUGAGAUUUUAAAGUAGGUUUUUAAUUUGAUAGCCACUCAAGUUCAAAUAUUGGAACCACAGUGCACCUUUCACUUGCUAGGCUUUAACCAAACAGACGACGUUAUACAAACUUCUAUCCAAUAAGGCAAUGCAAACAAAAGCAAGUGAAUUAAAAAUAAAUAAUUUCUCAUUAAUUUGCAACAAGUAUUAAUAAAGUGCAUGAGAAAAUAUGUCUUUUCUUAAAUGAAAAUAAAUGUGUUAAUUAGUCAAUUUAAAUGGUACGAUGUUUUGAAAUGAUAGAGCGAUAUGGAGUUUAAAUCUUACUCUUGACGUAAUAUUUAAUAACGAAUUUGAAGAACAAUUAAAAAUUAAAAGAAAAGAAAAAAAUGCUUUCUUUUUUAACAAUGGUAAUUUGUUCAGAUGAUGAAAAUUCUUAGAGUGGUAUAAUAAGUAUUUUUGAGUGUUGCCAUCGCCAAUAAUAUUUAAUUUCCUUUAUAUAGUUAUAUCUCAAGUAACAUUUAAACAAAAGCAAGUUGGAAAUUAAAAAAAAAAAUGAACCAUUGAGAGAAUGAAAAACAAACAAAAAAAAAGUUAAAAAAUUGUAUCUCAAUAAAUUUACUUGAGAGCUACUAUACUGAUAUGUGAAGAGAAAACACAAAGAAUAAUGAUGUAUCUCAAUUAAUAGGACAAUUUUUGUAUUUUUCGUUUAUUCAAGAAUCACGAAACUUCAUUUAAACUUGUUAUUUCAUUGAUAAUAUAUUAACAUUGAACAAUGUAGGGGACAUUCCUUUCCAAUUAUGCCCAUAUAUUAACUAAAGGCCACCAAAAAGUUCAGGGAUACUAUAGUAAUUUAAGUCAACAAUUACUAUGCUUGAAAUCAGCCAAUCAAACUCACUUUAGAAUAAAUUGAGAAAUCAAAAUCACAUUCUCCAAUUCUACGAUUUCAAUUCAUCUUCUUUCUUCAACUGAAGAAUUGGUUGUAUCUCGUUUAGAUAAAUAUAAAAUAUAAAUGACAAGGAGACUAGAAAAGUAAAAUCAAAAGAAGAGCAAGAGUUUUGUUGAAAAUGACUCUUUUUCAUCAUUGUGCCGGAGUGAAUGUAUCUACAUAUAAACUAAAGAAGCACGUUUGUUUGUAUUAGCUUUUUUAUUGUAUUUUUAAUAAUAAGUCAUUUUUCAAUGAACUUAUAUCAAUUUUUAUGAAAAUAAUAGGUGUUAGUUAGUUGAUUCAAAUGGCAAAACCUCUUGGGAUAGAGCUUGUAAUUUAUUGGCUCAUGAAUUGUCUAAAUUGACACUAACGAAGCCAAAUUACUGUGAUUGGUUAAAAAAGCUCCUGCUCAGCUUCAACUUUAUUAUUCUAUGAUGUUUGUUAAUAAAUAACAAUUUUAUUGAAAAAAAAAAGACCCCUUGAACUUAUACAAAAGAUUUGGGAUCUGAAUCUCACUCGAAUUUAGCUUGAGGUUGGCAUUGUUAGCAUAAUAUUUGAAGAAUUGAAGAUAGAUUUUUUUAAAUUAAAAAUCAAAAGAUAUAUAUAUAUAUAUAUUGGUUCACACUAGUUAGUUUUAACUCAUAGUGAGAUUUAAACAAAAGUGGAAUAAUAAAUCUUAACAUCCUGACUCAUGGAUAACAUCUAGAUAAGAUAGUAAAAUCUAUUAUGUCCAAAAUAAAAGGUAUGCAGUUUGAAUUUCGCUCACAUAGGUAGUAAGAGAAUCAAAUUAUUGUUAGAUUAAAUUAAUUAAAAAAAUUAUCUGAUAUCCAAAACAGCGUAUCAACAAAAUUGAAAUAAAAGAAAAUUGAAGAGAAAAACCAUUGAGAGAACGAAAAAUUAACACAAGAUAAAUUGGAUAACUAAUUGUAUCAGUGUGCGCUAACUUCACUUAUUAAAACUUGGUUAUUUCAUUUUCAUUGAUAAUCAUUUUGACAACGAUUUUUCUUUCCAGCUAUGCCCAUGAACUAAUAAGAGAACUGCCGAAAGGGUUCGGGGAUAAUAUGGUAAUUUAAAUUAACAUUUCCUGUGCUUCAAAUCACACUUCACAACAACAGAGAAAUCAAACUCACGGUUUCUCUCAUUUUUAAUUUAUUAUAUAAAGAUAAAUAUAUAAAAUUAAAUGGCGAGAAGACCGGACGAGGAAUACGAUUACUUGUUCAAAGUGGUAUUAAUCUAAAAACAAUAAUAUUAAAUAAAACACCUGGGAGUCGUAAUGGAAAGAAGAAUACAAUAUAUGAAACUUAUAAUGUUAUUUUUACUAUAUUAUAUUGAUACUUUAUUUUGUUAAUCAUAUAAGUCAAUCAGUAAUUAUUUAAUCAUUGGAAUUAAAACUAAUAUAUUAAUUAAAAUUCAAAAUCUAUUAUAAAAAUAGUAAAUAUUAAUAUAAAGAGAUGGACCUAUUACAAAAUACAUUCACCAAAAGUUCUAUUAUAUUUAAAAUUCUCAUUCACAAAAAAAAAAAAUAAUAGUUGAAUACAUGUACAAAAAAAGGGGAUAAAUAAAAAAUAAUAAUAAUAAAUAAUAAAAGAAUAGUUUAUAUAAUAAAAAAUAAAUUUAUUGAAUAGGGAUGUUAAUAAUAAAGAAUAAUAGCCUAUCAAACUCACAUUCUCCGAUUCUACAAUUGAAUCUUUUUCAUCAUUUUGUUGGAGUGAAUGUAUCUACAUAUAUUGGGGACCAUAAUGGAAACCGGUAGAACCUACAAGGGUUAAAAUCAAAACAACGAACGAUAUCUCAAGGUCGCCGAAACGUAAAUAAUUAAUCUUAUCUUUCAAUUGAUUUUUGUGGAGCCAGAGACAAUUAAACCCGAACAGCAAAUAGCCAUAAAUGAUAGGACAAUUAAAUUGGAACUCUUCACAGACCCACGAUUUAAUAUCUUUAGAUUGUAACGGUUUAACCCAAAAAAAAAAAAUAGUAAAAUAUUUCUUAAAAAAAUGAAAAAAAAAAUGUUGAAAAGAAGAACAAAAUUCUGGUCCACGUGUCAUUUCAAAAUAGGUUGCUGGCAUAAACAACCGGCCCCAUCCCGGACAGAUGUUAUUUGAGUGGUUGGUGCGCGUUUCCACUUUUUUGUUUUAGAUGCAACGACUUAUGUACUAUAUAUACAUCUCUCUCGUAUGAAUAAUGUAUAUAUAAAAUUUGCAUACAUUAUUCAUAUGAGAGAGAUGUAUCUUAUAUACAUAUAAGAUAGGAGGAUUCAUGAAUAUAAUGUUAUAUAUAUAUAUAUGGAUUCGGCUAUGGUACCACAGUGGUACCGUGCCACUUCUUUUGUUUUUUAUGGCUGUGUUAUUGUAAAUUUUCAUAUAACCCCUUUCAUUCAUUUUUAUUUACACUUUGUUUCACAAGUAUUAAGUUAAUUUCUCCCAAAUCCGUGAAUCCUUCAACGGUCGAUCAACGGCAAAUCAGCUCCUCCAGUAGCUGUCGCUGGUCGUAAAAGACAGAGGGAAUUGUGGGGAACAAAACUCAGGUGGUGGCGUCACCGGAAACCAACAAAAUCGUGGUGAAUUGAUCUGGCUUUUCACGGCUUCGAUCUGCAGCUUUUCGAACACUUUCCGGCGACAAGGAUGGCAUGGAGAUGACCGGCAUUGCAUGAGCUUCCGAUCUGUACCAACCUUGGCUGGUGGAGUGGCCGGAAACGGAAACGGCAUGCGGGUCGGGUUUGCGGGUUUGGUUUGACAUGGAGAUGACCGGCGUCGCACGAUCUUUCGAUCGGUACCAACCUUGGUUGGUGGAGUGGCCGGAAAUGAAAACAGAAUCCGGAUUGGGUUUACGAGUUCGGGUUGAUCCAAUUCUUUUCCUUGUUAAUUAUUUAAUCUAAAAAUUAUAAAGAGUGGGGUAUUGUGAUAUAGGUAUAAUAUAGAAUAAAAAUUUAUAAAUAAUAAAUAAUACAAGGUGCUAAUUAAAAUAUUUAUAUGGAUGUAGUAGAUAUUAACUUAAUAUUUGUAAAGUAAAGCUUAAAUAAAAAUGAGUGAAGGGGUUAUAACACAAAAUUUACAAUAACACAGCCAUAAAAAACAAAAUAAGUGGCACGGUACCACAAUGGUACCGUAGCCGGAUCCUAUAUAUAUAUAUAUAUAUAGAGGUAAAUGUAAUCCCUAUCUUACAUGCAUGUAAAAUAUAUUUCCCUCAUAUGAACAAUAUAUGUGUGGAAUUCACGUACUGUUUAUGUAAGAGAGAUAUAUCUUACAUACAUGUAAGAUAUGAGGAUCCAUGAAUCUAAUGUUAUUAGUUUAAAUAAUGGGUGCAACUCAUGUUUUUGAAACAUUAAGAUCUUUAGCCAUUCUCUUAUUAUCCCGUGGUUAUUUAAGUUAAAAGAGACAGUAAAAAAACAACGUCAUAUUUUAAUUACUUACACUAAAUAAAUUACUCACACUGAUGCCGCGACUGCCGCUUGCUUUUUUUCUUUUUUUUGCCCUUUUGAUUUUGACUUUUGCUUUUACUUUUUGACUUUUGCUUUUCGUUUAUAAUAAUAAUAAUAAUAACUACUUUUUAAUUUAAUAUAAUAUUAAAUAAUAUUUUUAUUUUUAAUUUUACAUUAUAAUUAUUAAUAUAUAAUUUAUUAUUUAAUAUUAUUAUAUUAUGUUUUUUAUUUUUACAUUAUAAUUUAUAAAUAAAUUUAUAAUUUAUUAUAACUAAUAAUAAAUAUUUAAAUUUGAAUAAAUUUAAAUAAUAUUAAUUUAAAAUUAAUAAUAAUAUAAAAUAUUAAUACAAUUUAAAUAUAAUAUAAUAUUUAAUUUGAAUUAAUCACAAAAAAUUAAUACAAUACAGUGUAGCACCAAACAUUGUACAUUAUUAUUAUAAUACAGUACUAAUACAAUGCAACAUAAUAUAAUACACCAACAUUAAAAUAAUACAAUCUAAUAUAAUAUAAUACAGUGUGCGAAAUGCACCGACAUGGUAUUACUUUGUUUGUCUUGUUAUUUACAAUUAUUUAAUCUGUAGACCCACUCAUGCUCCUUCUAUGUAACAUAGAUACAAUUUGAGGAAGAUUAUCAAUUUUUUUCUGAUUAAAAAUAAUAUAUACUACUUAUUUUUUAUUGUUUUUAUAAUGUUCAACAAUCCGCUUGAGAUAAAAAAAAUUAAAUGAAAAGGAGGAGUAAAUAGAUGAUUUACUUGAUGUUGUAUCUUAGAAAUAUAAAAUAUAUUUAUUUAUUAUUAAAAAUAUUUAAAAAUAAUAAAGAGUACAUAAAAAGUAUCUUAUCCUCAACAACAAGAUCAGACGACGUCAAUUCAGCAAAAUGACUUGAAUAACUUGAAAGUCUAGCAGCCGUCACCUCUAGGCGCACACAUGGCAACGUGCGUGGCUUUGGCAAGAGGUCUCCCAAAAGGACGAUUAAGAAAAGAUUGCAGGACAAAUCAUGAAAAUAGUAGUACAGAUAUGCAAUGGCUAAAUUUCCUCUAUUAAGUCCAUCGCAAUCAAGUCUUAGAAAUCACACCCCUGUAUUAAUUUCCAGAAAUAUGUUUGUUCCAUAUUCAUCGUGCACGUAUAUAUUGUAUGUAUUGGGAAUAGAAAGAGUAUGUAAAAAUUCUUCAUUCAUGGAUUAAAACUUAAUUUAUGUACGAGGGUUAAGUGUAGUGUUUUUAAAUUUAAAAAGGACAAGUGUCAAUCCACUGAGGCUUGCUUCAAUGGCUAGAGCCACACUCCCUCACAAAGUGGUUCGAUCUCCCACAAAUACAUUAUAGAGGUUUAAUUUAAAUUUUUUUCUUAAAUUUUGAGUGAAGACAGUCUUUCUUCCAGAAAUAGAAUUUUUCUGAGAGUUUGACGCCCCUCGAAUAUUUGAGAUGAUUAAAAUUUGAGCGGUGCUAUAUAAAAUAUAAAGUAAACUAAUCUAAAUAAUUGUAUAAUUAUAAAUAUAAUGAACAAUAGUCUCAUACAAAAAAAUGACAAGUGUAGUAAGUCCAUUUAAAUUAACUUAUAUUUGAGGGGAAAAUCUCUGUAUAUCAUAGUAUAUAUUAUAUAUCCAGUCGUGGGACCCAUACAUGGUUCCAUGUAAUUCGCACAGUUGAACUGGAGACACUGAUUAGUUCGUUGUCUAUUUACCAACUUAUGUACAACUAAGUAAUUUCAUGCACCAUUUGCGCCUUAUCUAUCCAGCCUGCUUGCAUUGCAUUAACUAAACAUACAAUGAAAUUAACCCUUGUAAUUUCGGCCUUUGCCAUAGUCGUUUUGUUUAUUAGGUUUAUGUUUAUCAACAUGAUAUAUUGUCAACCAUAAUCACAAUCAGGUUGUUAAUUAUUUUUAAAUAAUGUGAAGGAACAAGAUUUUGGUCUUUGAGUGUGGAGUUAAAAAUAUCUCACCUCAAUAUACGGUGUUGUGCUCUCAUCAUCGUAAUAUUAUUUGUUAAAAGUAUGUCAAAGAGGAAAGCAGAUUCAAACAUUACUUCAAUUUUCUUUAAGAGCAUAAAAAAAUCGUUAAUAGGCUACUGUUAUUUGUUAGUACGAUUUCACAAAAGGAAGCUAGAGGAAGAUGAAGCUUUCAAGUCAUGUAUGCAUCAAAGGAAGAAACAGAGCUAACGAGAUAUGGACAAUUUUAAAUUUGUCAGCAUUUUGUCAGUUCUGGCCAUAUUUUGAAAGAUUAGCACCCUAAUUUUCUUUUAAAGCUCCUUUUCUGUCGAAAUCUAUUUCAAUUUCCAAAAUAUCUUUUUUCAUUUUUUUAGUUUCUUUCUGAUUCCAAAAAAAAAAAAAAUCAGUUUCUUAAACAACUCCAACUACAAAUAUUUUUUUUUACAAAUUUUUGAAUUAUUAAAUCAUAUGUGUGUGUAUAAAUUGAAUAGAAUUAAAAGUGGACUCAAAUAGCUAUUAUGUAAUUUUUUUAUAAUUAAAGAAAAGUUUAGAAUGCAAAAGUGUGUGUGGGAAAACAAAAAAUAUAAAUUGCCUUUGAUAUAAUUAUAUAAAACGGGUAGGUUUUAUAAGAAUUUUUUAGAGGAGUGCCAAUAUUUCAACUCUUUUUCAAAUAAAGUGAUGUCCUGGAAUAAAAUCACUACUCUAUCAUUGCUAUUAGUUUGUCUUGUAUUUCAAUAAUUGCCGACAAGUAUUAAUUGUGAAUAUUAUUAUUUUAAAAAUAUUAUUAUUAUUAUCGUCGUUAUUCUUAACAGCAAUGACUAGAAUUAUAAUAAGAACAAUAACGUUAAUACAAUAAUAUAACAACAUAAUAAUAUUUUAAUUGAGAGGAUAAGAAUGAAAUUAUGAAAUUUAGGUUGGGUAAAAACGAUGAGUAUGAAGAAAUUAAAUUACCAUUUUUUAAGCUAAACAGUUCAUAAAUUCCACAUAUUUCAUACUUAUUUCUCUUAUAUUUUAACAAGUAAACAUUAUCAAUCGUUUAAUAUUUUAAUUAAUAAACACGGCAUUAACUACGGAACUAAAAGAUCCCAAAAAAAAAAAAAAAACACAGAAAGGCGUGUAUGUAUUGCUUGUGACAAAUCUCACCCAUGGAAAACUUUGUGAAAGGCAUUUGAAUGUGUGGCCACAUUAGCCUGAUGAUUGCAAUUAGUUUGUCUUUUAAUUAAAUUAUUGCCGACAAACACUAACACGACCCACGUCCGCUACUUGUGUUAAUGUGUGUAUAAAUAUCCGCAGCAUAUUAUCAAACCUGAUGCGUGAUCCUCUUUAACUUUUGGUUAGGGUUCAUCAGACGUUAGAAGACAUCUUUUCUAAUUUGAAGAAGAUGGAAACUCCUUAUCCAUGUUCUUAGGCCAUGUUCAAUUGAAUCUCAUUUAUAAUUUUUAUUUUAAUAUUAUGUAUUUAUGAAUACAAUUAUUGUUAUGACUUUUUUAGGUAAGAAUGGAUGGUCUGAGGGUAACCCAAUAACUAUGUACAGUAUUAUUAAUGAUGAGAGCGUGAAUGACAAUUUGGAUUUUUUUCUCGUCCCUCAAUACGGAAGAAAUCUUGACCAUAGCGGUUAAGUGCUAUGUAACUCUUUCGUAUUAUGUUUAAUUAAUAGUAAAAUGAUGGGUUAUUAUUACCUGUCAAUUACGUGAGUGUCUUUGUUUGGUUUAGUUCAACUUAUAUAAUCUCUUGAGAUAUACAAGAGAUUUUCUUUAUUUACUUUCAUGUACCGCGUCUUCUUGUAAAAAGAAAUUAAUAAAAAAAAUAUCAUUGUGUGCAAUGUAUUGACUAAGUUAGUGUAUUCAUGUUAGCUUAAUUGUGCUCUCUCUUCUUGGUUAAAACAAACUCCACAUAUUGUUGGUUAGCUAAUUCUUGCAGCUAGCAAGUGAUCCUUUUCUUUCCCCUACUGCUGUAGCAUCAAAUCCUUACCAUUACAUAUCAAGUGGUAUUCGAGCCGUCAAAUGAUCCAUGGAAACGCGCAACAAAUCAAAUGCUGAAUUUUGCGAAGAGAUUCACGAAAUCCUUGCUGUACAUGAGUCUAGUUUAUUUCAAACUACGCGUGCAAUGUUCCCGUUAUUGUUUAGUAUGUCUUUUGUUGUUUGCAAUGUAGUUAGGGAUGUUAGCGGGUAGGAUUUGGUACGGGUUUGAUAUUACCAAAAGCUGCAUUUGUAAAAAAAUUUUAAUUAUCAAAUUCAUUGUGGGUUUUAUUUAUUCUUUUAACAAAGCCCAUCAGCUGUGGGUUUAAAUGGUACCUGAUGGAUAUUUUGUGAGUUCCCACGUAUAAAAUCACACUUGCAACAAAACCUAAAAACUUAAAUUACGUAAUUCAAAUUAUAAAUUUAUAAUCAUAGUCUAAAAAACCACAUAAAAUACUUAAUUCUAGAUUUUAUCAAUGUAAAUGAGAAAUGAAAGUUUUAAUAUUAAAAUAAAUACACAAAAUAUAUCAAUUUAACACAAAUUUUCAAAAUUAAUUAUCAAAUACGUAAGUCUAUCGCAACUCAAAGUGCUUUCAAUUGAAAACGAAAAAGAGAAAGAGAAAAAAAACAAAGAACUACAAAUCAAAGUAGCACCCAUGACCCAUUUUGCAGUCUCAUUCAAUACCACUAGCACCCAUCCAACACGAUUUUUCUAAACAAAGUAUAAAGUACAAAAUUACAAUAAGCAUAUCAUACUCCAUGCUUUAAGUUAAAGAUCCUAAUAUAUUUUUAUGAAUAAUUUUUUAAUGAAAUUUUAUGAUUAAAAUUAAAAAUACAAACAUUCAAAUAAGAAUGUCGGACACUUGCGUAACUAUUUACCAAAUUUUUUCUCUAUAAAAAUCGACCUGCAACUUUCAAUAGGUUUAAAUUUAUAAUAUCAAACCUAAUUGCAGCUCGCAAAAAUUAUCCGUUGCGGCCAAGACUUUGGAUUUGCGAUGAUUUUGCCACCCUAAGUGUAGUUAGUAUUGUAUAUCAUGUGGCUCUUAUAAAAAGCCUAGAAGUUGUUUAAAUAACGGGGGAGACACAUAUCUCCCAAAGAUUUUCUCUUUUUCAAAUUAUUAUUUUUUCUCUAUUAUUGUAACUUCGAAUCCUUAUAAAUUACAGAUUGGAGACAUGAACACAAUGUUUUGACAUAGUAGACUUUUGGCUUGUCCAGAGUAAUUUAGGAUAGAUUUUUACGCACUAAGGCUCUAUUUACUAUUGAAGUUUUAGANNNNNNNNNNNNNNNNNNNNNNNNNNNNNNNNNNNNNNNNNNNNNNNNNNNNNNNNNNNNNNNNNNNNNNNNNNNNNNNNNNNNNNNNNNNNNNNNNNNNUAAAUAUAUAAUCCCAAGAAAACCAGUAAUAAUAAUGGAAUCCUCCGUAAACAAAUAAUUAAAUAAUAGCAAAUAAUAAGUGGACAAAGCUAAGUUCCAGAGAUGAUAUAGGAAAUUCUCCCGCACGACACGGCAGAAACAAACUUUCCCUUUCAUUUUCUUUUCUCUUUCUCGCUCUCCAAACAGAGCAAAAGGACCGUGGCAAGAUUCUUCACUUCCAUCCAAAAUCAUGAGCAACGAAUAGUGAGCCUCCCUGUUUCCUUCCUUUUUUUGAUAUUAACCUUGUUAACAUAUACUCAUUUUAAUUUGACAAUACUUCAACUUUUUUUAUUUUUUUGCCUUUUCAUUUUUUUUGUUGAAGCAAUUAUCUGUUCAAGCUGUUGCUCAUCGGAGACUCGUCCGUCGGAAAGUCUUGCCUGCUGCUCCUAUUUGCUGUCUGUUGACUUUUCCUUUCCCUUCUUAUUUUCUUUUUUUAUAUUAAUUACUUUCUAUUUUAGCUUUUUGUUCUCUGAAUUUGUGUUAUUAAAAUGAUAAUUUAGAUGAUAAAUAAUUGUUAUUCUUGUAAAUUUCGGUUUUCAUUACGUUAAUUGUUAGUUUUUAGGUUUAUUAAUGUAAUUUUUUUUUUCAAUUUUUCAGGAUGAUUCUUAUGUCAUAGCUACAUCAGUACCAUUGGAGUUGAUUUUGUGAGUCUCUCUUCUAUAUAUAUGUAUAUAUGUGUAUAAGUUAUAAUAUGAGUCUAUGUACGUGUAUGUAUGUAUGUGUAUGCAUAUGGGGAAAGAAAUGUUGGCAGACUUCAGCAUUUUACUCUUUUUUUUUUUUUUUUGGCAGAAAAUAAGAACUGUGGAGCUGGAUGGGAAGACGAUCAAACUGCAGAUUGUGAGUCAAAAUUUCCUUUUAUCUUGUAUUGAGAGAAAUUCGAUUUGUCUUAUUUAGUGAAGGUUAUUUUCAAGAACCUUGUCUUAUUUUCUUUGUUUGAAGAGUGGUAUGUUGAAAUGAGUGUAUUUGUCUUAUAAACAUCAUUUAGGUAAUGUCUUAUGUUUGAUUGUUUUUAAUCUGUUUAGUGGGACACUGCUGGACAGGAGCGUUUCAGGACUAUAACUAGCAGUUAUUACCGAGGAGCCCAUGGAAUCAUAGUAAGGAGCCUUCCCGUUCUUGGUUUAAAUCAGAAAGUUUGUGAUUUACAUGUGACAUCUUAACAGCAUUGUAUGUGUUUAUUAACUUAUUUUUCAUCUUUCAUUAAGCAGUACAUUUUCCAAUAAAUCUGUAUACAAGAUGAUGUAGUCCAAGAAUGGGAGCCAUAAUAUGAUGCAAAUUGUCUAAUAAAUUCUUAUGACAUAUGAUGUUGUCGGAAGUAAAAGUCUUGCAAUGCUGUAUUCUCUUUUAAGAAAGAAUAAGUGGUAAUUUUGUUUUUCCAAUUUUUUAAUUGAGCAACUGUAUGAGAUUAAUUAAAUGUGUUGGGAUUUCAACAGAUUGUCUAUGAUGUAACUGGGAUGGAGAGCUUCAAUAAUGUCAAGCAGUGGUUGAAUGAGAUUGACAGAUACGCAAAUGACAGUGUAUGCAAGCUUCUAGUUGGGAACAAAUGCGAUUUAGUUGUGAACAAGGUUGUGGACACACAGACAGCCAAGGUAUAUUCAUGACUUUUGUCGCCUGAACUUUGAAUAUAAUUUUAAACUCUUCUCAAGUGCAUUUGCUUGGUAAGUUUCUGCAUACCCAGGACACUCAAACUUUGGACAGUCUGUAUCUCGAGUUGGAAUCUUUUCUGUCAAUACGACUUGUUAAAAUAAGGGUUAUUAUUGUUUGAAUCAUUCAAGAAUUGCAAUAAAUCUAAAGUCCAUAAAAAAUAUGAUUCCAUCAUUUUACUAUUAUAUCUAGACAAAAUCCAUUAUUUUACUACAUUUCAUUGGCACCGAUAGUUGACCUGUUGGCUGACUGAUAAAAUAUCAAUUUUGCACUUUAUAUUAAUUAUUUUUUGGUUAAAAAAUAACACACAAAGUAUUACAAUAUUAUAAAUUCAAAAUAUAAAGUAGUUAAAAAUAAUUCCUAUUAGCCUAUGAAUAUAAUAUUUGAUACCUCUAUUUGUGUAAUUUUUUUCCAAUGGUGAAAUUGUUAUUUUUUUUGUACUAACGGAAAUGUAGUAAAAUCAUAAGUUUUGUAAAGAUAUAGUAGUAAAAUGAUAGACUAAAAUACUUCUUGUAGUUGUUUGAUAUAUUGUAAUUCUUAAAGUAGUCAAUUGAUAAUAUCCCCUAAAAUAAAUGUUCGUAAUAUGUUCUCAUUUUAAUGCAACUGAUUGUUUAAUAAAAUUGUAUUUCUUUGUUAAUCUUUUAUCAUGUGCAUGCUCAGUGAGAAUUUGACUUACUAGAACACAAGUUUGACUUUUCAUUUAAAUGUCUCUUGUAUCAUAUCCUUCAAUGUUGAGUGUGAUUCCAAUAAAAUUGAGUAGGGAGAUCCUUAAAUACCUUUUCCUUUUUUCCAAGGGCCUGCCAAAUUGCUCUAAGUGGCUCUACCCUUUAUCAAUGAAUAAUGAAAAUAAAAUUUUUAUUAAAGCAUUUUGUUCCUUAAAUGGUGACUAAUAGUACCCCUUUUUUUGGAGAGGAAAGCCAAACAUGCCCAAAGAGAAUCAUUUACUUUCCUCUAAUGUAUUUUCUAAUUCGUUUUGAGCCUUGAAUGUCUGUUUUGGUGCGUAUUCUCAUUCCAUGUCGAAUCUUAUCCAUAUGGACAACCCCACUUACAAAAAAGUCUAAUGAAUCUAUUGAAGUUCAUAUGAGGUUUGUGCUUUAGAUUUAGACCUCUCUCUCUCUCUCUCUCUCUCUCCACUUACAUGUCUUUCACUUACCUGUUUGCAUGCACGCCCAUGCACACACUUUCAAGAUAAUACACGGUCACUCGUACUUGUGUUUUGGUUGAAUUACUGGCUGCUAACCUCUGUAAUUCAGUUUGAAACUUGCCACCCUUAGUGCUUCACUCAAAUGGUUGGUUAGGGUGAGAUCUGUAUCGUUUUCCUGGUCUCUUUCCAAGGUUAUCUAAAGGGAUUUGGCAGUCUGAUUCUUUAGGGAAUAUCAUUGCAUAAGAUAUCUAUUGUUUGUUAAUGAAUAAUUUCUAUUUAACUAGUUAUCUAUAUAAAUUGGUAAAUUUUAACUGCAUAAUUUGCAUGCAAUAAGAUUUUAUAAGAAUCUUGUUUUCAACUCAUGACUUAGACUAAUGUGAUAUGUUGAGCAUUAAGCUACAAGAUCUGAACAUCAAAGUGCUUCACAAUGUUAAGGAGAAAGCAUCUUUUUCUGCUUCUUCAUGUGAUUUAAAGUUUCCAAGGUACUUAUUCUAUAAAAUAUCUUUCAAGACUUUGGAAAUGCUUUUAUGUAUGACUGAGAGAAACUUGUUGGGUUGGUUUUUAGCAACAGACGGAGUUAUGGACUUUGUGUUGACUUGUUAAUGAUUAAGACAGUACAUCGGCUGAUCUAUUGGCAUCAAGCAGCAGAUGCAGAAAUUAUGGGUGGCAUGUCAUUGUAUCCAAAUAAUGUACUACAUUGAUUUUUCUGACUUUCUGUUGGUCUCCGAGUGAAAUGCAGGCAUUUGCAGAUGAACUGGGGAUUCCUUUCCUGGAGACGAGUGCCAAAGAUGCAAUCAAUGUGGAGCAGGCUUUCUUGACCAUGGCCGGUGAGAUUAAGAAAAAGUAAAAUCACUUAACUCUUUCCUUCUUGCCGACUGUUCUUAUUCAACAAUCACCAUUAUUGCUGGUUAUGUGCAUUGUGAUGAAAAUUCUGCAAUGAAUAACUUUUUACCUAAUGUUUUCUGUUGGAACAAAUUACUCUGGUAGAAAAGCCCUACAGGGUUUGAGAAAUCCCAUGAUGUGAUGAUUGUGAGCAUUUUAGACACCGUGUAUGGGUUUAUUUUGUGACUAUAAAAUGUUAAGAUUGUUUCUAGUUUUGGUUUGUAGUGCAUAAAAGGAUUCAAAAUUUGACAUCUGUCUAAAUCAGAUUAAUAACAUGAUAAUGUACAUAUGCAAGAUGUGAGGAAUUGUUUUAUCUCACCCCUAAACUUUAAGAAAUUGAAACAUUAUCAUUCAAAAUAUUUACCAUUUCCAGAAUUGAUAGUUAGUCUAUUUGAGCAGUGACUGGUGGUUAUCAUGAACUGAUGUGUGGUUGUGGUGUCAAAUCUUGGUGAAACCUGUUGUCAUCUGCCGGUUAACAUAGCUAGUCUCUGAAAUAAUUUCUUGAUUCACUAAUUAUGAGUUCAAAUUUGAUGCAGAAUGGGCAACCAGCCUACUGCAAACAAAUCUUCUGGAACAGUUCAGAUGAAGGGACAGCCAAUCCAGCAAAACAGCAACUGCUGUGGUUAGCCGAGCAUCUUAUUUUACUUCUACAUGUUAGCUGACUGAUUGUAUACAGUUUUAACUAUGUUGACUGCAUUAUCUUAUGAGUCUUUUAAUAUGUCAAAUAUUUAUUUCCUGCUUUAAGUUCUUUCCGUUUAUAACAAAUUUAAUUUCUUGCUUCAUUGCAUUCCAAAUUCCUGUCAAUUUACGAGGGAAAAAGAAAAGGGAGACGAAAUCGGAGAAAAUGCUCAAAUUUGUUUGUUUAUUGUCGUGACCCUCUUGUAGCUUGUCUAUGACCUGGAAGUCCGGUCAUAUCGGAUGGGUAAAGUUACCAAAACGGCAUCAUUUUGGGUGAAAUAUCAUAUUUGAUAAUAUUUUUAUGCAACAAAAAAAUGUUCGCAGUACCCUUUUCACAUUGUGAAGCGCAUGAUCGGAUGAGAGCAGUCUGGAUUCUGGCAUCACAAGCUAAUGCUUUGAUUUGCUUAGUUUGUUUUUUGUUUCUGAUAUUUUCUUGGCAUUGGGUGGGAUAUUGUUUCUCUUUUGAGUUUCCUUUUUUUUUUUUUUUUGAUUAUGGAAUUUGGAGAUAGUGUACAUGUAUGAAGAUGACGUAAUCAAGUUGUUUUGAUAAAUUUCCCUGGUCGGUUUACUUCACUAACCAUUAAUGCGCAAAACCUCCUGAUGACCCUAAAAAAUCCCGUACAUAAUUAAAGAAUUUCAAUUUUAUAUGUACAAAAAUAAAUAACUCUCAAAUAUAUUAUUUGAUAAUUCCAAAAACAACUAUUCACUCUAAUAAAUCUCGUAGGAAAUACAUGGUCUAUAUUGUAAGUCUUUUCGAGACUAAUUCAAAAUACGAAGGACAUAUAAUUGACCUCUACAGAACUCUAAAUAUCAUAAAGAACUUUAAAUAAAUUUAUAUACGCAUCACAAUUAAUUACAGCCUUGAUACUUCAUUUGGUUUUUGUUAAUUUUCUAUACAGUUGUGCUGUGCAUAAAAGUUUUGUUAAAUGAAAUCGGUAGGUGAGGGUUAAUUAAUCAAUUAAUUAAGAUCCAGUUAAUGUAAUUAAUUUUAUUUGAUUUUUUUAAUUCGAGUUCUAAAUUAAUCAAUUAAUUUAGAUUCAUGUGAAAUUGAAGUGAAUUAGUUUCGAUCUGUUUUUGGUCCUAUGUUUGUAUGUGUUUACUCUUACUUUUCUUUUUGUUUAAAUUUUCGUUUUCUUAUUUUUUCCUGAAUAAAUUUCUGAGCUUUAUUUGAGUAUGAUGAUUGAUUUGUGAUUUUAAUUUGUGACUUUUUUUUUUGGAAUUUAAAUCUGAAUGCUUUUUAAGUUGAAUCUGAAUGUGUUGGGCUGCGAUUUAAUUGAGUGAUGUGUGAGCGCAAAAUAUACAAUAACUGAUAAAUUAUAUUUAUAAAUAUUAAUAGCGAUGGCACAUAAACAAUUAAUUCAAGAACUCGCCCAAAGUGCAUUAAUUUGAAGAGUAUAAAUAACAUUGCAAUACAAUCUAGCCCUUACGUGUUUAAUUAGCAAUUACACGAACAUUAUAACACUCUGUUGCUGAUGCGGCAGCUAGUAAUUCUUCUGGUGAAGAUAUUAAGGCUGUUAAAGCUAAAAUGUAAUCAGAGAAAUAUAAUGCAUUCCCUUAGUUUGCUUUUUGUUUUUGAUAUUUGUUUGGCUAAUGCUUUGCUUAGAUUGCUUUUUGUUUUUGAGAUUUUAUUGGCUUAGUCAUGGUAUAUUGUUUUCUCUUCUAAUUUUCUAUUUUUGUCGUUAUGGGAUUUGAUGAUGGUGUACACAUACGAAAAUUAUGUAAUAAAGUGCUUUCAAUAAAUCAUGGUCGGUUUACUAUUAAUUAAUUAAAUUUAAUUAACUCAAAUUACUCUUGUACACAACCAAAAUAAUUUCAAUUCUACGAUAUGUAUACACACGCGCACACACAAACAAAAAGUAAUUAACUUUCAAAUAUUUGCCAUGCUAUUUUAAUAAAUAGUACUUGAGAAUAUAUAUAUCCAACAGGUAAAAUUUCAAAACAAUAUUUGCCGAAGUCUGAUGAAGAGAAUAUACACGCACACACAUAUAUAACCGUACAGCAGAAGGAUAAAUAAAAGAAAAUAAAGUUUCAACAGCUGAAUAAUGCAAACUCAUUUUUUUUAACAAGCAUUUUAUUGUUUAAUUUAAAAAAUUCGAAAACCGAUUGGUCUUAUAUACAUGAUAAAGACUCACCGACGCCGAACCAUAUUCAUUUAAAUUAGUUUUCAACUGAGAUUUGAAUUUUGAAAUUACAUACACAAACACGCUCAAUUUAAAAAUAAAAAAUAGUAAUUAUAAAAUAUUUCUGUCGUCCUCCAUUCAAUUAUCAAAAAACGACUUUAUAAUCGAUUUUAACAUAAGGUAUAUGGGUUAACAAGUCCCAAUAUUGUCCUCCAUCCUUUCUGCACUUCUCUUCUAUCAACGGACAUCUCCAGAUCUGUAAUUGCAAAAGUGAGGAAGGCAGGCCCUUCUCCGGAAAGUAUUUAAGCUUGGGACAUCCAUGGAGUCGCAAUUCAGUGAGGUUUUGAAGAUCAACAAUUGAAGAAGGUAGGCGUUCCAGAUUUGAAAAUAAAAGAAUGCUCAGAGAUGUUAGAGAGGCAGGAAGAGGAAGCGCGGUCCCUAAUCUUUUGUCCUCUAGUGGAAAUGACACCAUGUCGUCAUAACAUCCUCCGAUUUCUAGAUGUCGCAUAGAGGAGAAUCUGUGAAAUCCCCGACCCCGCUCAACCAUUGACUUCCAAAUCUCCAUAUUACCCCUGAUAUGAAGUGACUGAAUCUUGGUGGGAAGGCCAUCUUCUUCAAGGCUUGGAAGCUCACCUCCUAUUCUUAAUUCUUGAACAGAAGUCAGGUUGUGCAAUCCCUUGGGUAAGGCCUCUAGUCUCUUGCACCAACGGAUACAGAGCUUAGUGACUUUCGCACAAGGCAGUCCCCCUUCGGGAAAGGACACCAGAUUUCCACACCUCUCUACACUAAUCUCUCGAAGCUGGUGGAGAUUAUGUAAACCACUCGGUAAAAUUUUCAGAUUUUCACACUCAGAAAUGUAGAUAUCUUCAAGAGAUGUGUUGUUGUCCAACCUUUCUGCUAUUGACUCCAGAUUUCCACACAUCUGUAUACUAAUCUUUCGAAGCUGGCGGAGAUUAUGUAAACCACUCGGUAAAAUUUUCGGACUUUCACAAUUAGAAAUUCUGAUUGUUUCAAGGGAUGUGUUGUUGUCCAAUCUUUCUGCUAUUGACUCCAGCUUUGAACAUCCAUAAACAUCAAGGGACUUAAGAGACGAAGGUAGAUUGCCAACUUCAAGGGACUCAAGCGUGGCAGGUAACUCGUUUUGUGAAAAUAUACAUGUCAGUGAUGGACAAUCCCUAAUUUCCAACUCCUCGAGAAGAGAUGAGGUGUACCUUCUGCCGCUGCUACUCUGGAUGCCCUCUUCCACUGUCAAAGUCCUUAUAUUAUCGCAACGCCAGAUCUUCAACUUCUUAAGGCUCGAUGGUAGCUGGACAGCAGCAAUAUAUGUCAACGAACAACAAUACUGAAUAUUCAAGAUCUCGAGAGACGAAUGGGUGUCGCACAUCCAUGCCUCUGGUAACGAUUUCAGUGCAUCACAAUGCCCAAUCUGAAUUUCCUUCAACUUGGAAGGCAGAGCAACCUCAGGAAACGAAACAAGGGAACUGCAGUUGUAGAUUUCUAUCUCUCUCAAGGAACUGAGGCUGAACGAUGAUUGUGGCAGCUUCACAAGGCCUUCGCAUCGGUUCAAUUCUAGAUAUUCAAGUCUGCUUGACAAUUCGCAGAGCUGCUGUUGUUGGUCUUUCUCUUCCUCCGCCACCAAGGAUUGAAGUUUGGGACAGCUGUCAAUCGUCAGUCUUUUGAGAGAGCAAAUGUCUUGCAGUAAUUCGUUAUGACUCUUCCAUAUAUAUGUUUCAUUUUUAAUAUUAUUUAUCCCCAAUUUUUCCAGUUUUGGUAGUCGCGGCUUCAAUGGCCCUGCGAGAAACACUUGAUUUGAUGCAUCUCUACAAACCACUGAAUUCUGUGAGCCGAGAUGAUCGGUUGCACUUCUCCACACAACCUUUUUACAUCCAUUAAUCUCUAAUUUGCAAAGAGCUGGAAGACUCGUAACUGAAACUGACAAUUCUUCACAUCCUCCAAUAACAAGCAUCUCCAAUGCAGGAAGGCAUUCUGGCAAUGUUCCUUGUAGUUUAGAACAUCUUGAAAUGCGAAGCUCGCUCAAUUUCGGAAACCCUUCAACUCCCUGACCAGAUCUAAGAGGAAUCCAGUCUUCCCAUUCUUGCAAGUCUUCAAAACAAAGAGUCUCCAAGCAUGGAAAAGGAAUCGGGGAAUCAUUCCCAUAGAACUCUGAACCCAAACUCUUUACUCUACUCAUUCCACUCACUUCAAGAUGCUUUAGAGAGGGUAGUUGCCCGACUGACGGCAGGGUAGUACACACGCCGCAAUCUUGAAAAUCUAAGGUCGCUAAAUUUGAGAAUAAGGAAUCUCCCAACCAAGUUGGAAAUUCUUUACCUCCAUAGCCACCGAUACAAAUUUGUUCCAGAUUUUCAUGAGGUUUUAGCAUGUCGAGCACAUCCUUUUCAGUUUCUGCCUCCCUUGAAGACAAACCAUCGGUACUCCGUGUCCAUCGAAACCUUAACACUUUAAGAUUCUUCUUUCCAUUCAAUUGAGCCUCCUUUGCAUCACCAAUGUCUUUUACGUUCUCCAAUUUUGAAAUGUUAAGUGUCCCACGAAGAUGCGUCAACAAUUUUAGCUCUCGUAUCCCGGAACCACUGUCUUUUCCCACAACAAAAUUACACAGCGUCUGAAGGCAAGUCAACUUACCAAUUCCUAGUGGCAUCUCCUCCAAUGAACCUGUAUAUGAAUUAUUGAGAUGAUGCAAUUUGAUGAGAUUUCCCAUGUCUGCACACAACUUCUUCAGUCGCAGACAGCCCUCCAACAGAAGGGUGUGCAAAUUGUAAAGCGUGUUGACUGAUUCAGGCAGAGUUAUAAUGCCAGUUCGCGAUAAGUUAAGGUACCUUAAAUACCUCAAAUCACUAAUUGAAUCCGGUAGCUCAGAGAUUUGAUAUCCAUGCAGUGAGAAAACCCUCAACCGUUGGAGUUUGAACAACAUAGGAAGAAUGCUACGAGCCAAGUAUCCACGCGAACUAUUUGACUGCAUUACUCGUAAAAAUGUUCGCAAAUGUUGGAUAUCGUACAAGCCCUCAAACCUUUUAACGCCAUCAUAUUUUCCACAAAUGUACGAUAGAUGACGAAGAUUUUUGGAAAAACUUUGUUGCUUGUUAACCUCUGAGGUAUACUCCAUUGUGAAGUAUAUAUCCCCCGCAGCCCAUUGAGCAAGGUCGUUGACAAGGUCAUGCAUCACAAAUCGUGAUUUAUUGUUGCUUGAUUGCUGGAAAAAAGAUCUUGAACGUAGCUCUUGAAAGAACUUUCGACCUAGAUCUUCAUUAGGAUUCCCACUCUCUUUGUGAUCCAAGAAACCCGAAGCACACCAUAAUAAAAUUAUCUCCUCCUCUUCAAAUUCAUAAUCCUUUGGAAACAAUGAGCAGUAUGCAAAGCAUUGUUUCAAAGGUGCCGAAAGAUAAUAGUAGCUCACUCUAAGCGCCGGUAUAAUGUCACAUCUCUCUUCUGGUAAAUCCCAUAUCUUGCAACUGAGCACACCUUCCCAAUCACUCCGGUCAAGUUUACCUCGUAAGAGUCCACCAAGAGUUUUCGCAGCUAAGGGCAAGCCGUUGCAUUUGAUCACUAUCUUCUUGCCAAUUUCCUCCAAUGGCUUGUUUGAACUGAAAUCUCUUGUCCCCAAAGAGUGUUGAGCGAACACAGACAGACAAUCAUCAUUUGACAGCUUUUUCAAUUGAUAAGCCGGAGCAGUCCCCAUGAUGGCUGCAACCCCUUGAUUACGAGCUGUGACAAUAAUCUUACUUCCCGGUGCGCCAGCUUCAAAUGGAAGUCUGAGUCGAUCCCAACCAUUGUAAUUCUCAUUCCAAACGUCAUCUAAAACAAGCAAAAAUUUCUUUUGAGAUAACUUCUUCUUCAGCUCCUCUUGAAGCAAAUUUAAAUCACUGUCAUCAGUAGUCUGCUUAGUAAUGGAUCUUAGAAUUGUUUUUGUUAGCCUGAUAACAUCAAAAUCAUCAGAGACACAAGUCCAUGCCUUGAGAUCAAAAUGACCCUGCACUCGAGCAUCAUUAUAGACAAGCUGAGCGAGAGUGGUUUUACCCAGCCCGCCCAUGCCUAUGAUAGGAAUAACAGAGAAUUCACCAUCAUUUCUCAAAUCAUCCCUCAACAACAAUUCAACAAUUUCCUUCUUUUCUGCUUCCCUGCCAAAUACCUUGGCUUCAUUCACCAAAGAGGUUGUGGGUAGUCUUUGCCUGCCUUUUCUGGACCUCCCAGCUGAACUUUCUUUCAAAUUCAGCAAGUCUUUCUCUGUUAGAAUUUCUUGAAAUCUGUCGUUGAUCCCUUUGAUUUUGGACAUCAAGGCGAAAUCGAACUGAAUCGAUUGCAGAGUAAAAGUGGUGCUGCAAGUAAGAAUGAGCUUCCGAAACUCACUUGUUCUUGUACGACUGCUACUGGGUUGAUCCUGAGCCGCAGCGGGAUCUCCAUUUCCAAGCAGCAACUUCCUCCGGAAAGCCUCAGUUUGAAACUCAUCCAACAAGUCUUCAACAUCAAAAGCCAAGUUCUGAAGCUCGCCAAGCCACAACUUCACAAUCUCAUCAGUCCUCUUCUUCUCCUCAGCAUCAGCAAGCACCGCCUUGAUCUUCAAAAGCAUCGCCUUCCACUUCAUUAGAUCGGCCCGGAUUUGAUCUUGGCGUGGAAACAACCGAAUCCCCACUGAAGCUAACUUAUAGACCAAUAACUCAACGGACGCCGUCAGGAUUGCCUCUCCGAUGAUUGACAUUUUUUUUCUUUUUUUUUUUGUUUUGCAAAGAAAGAAACAGAAUUUUGAGUUUUGAAAAGCAAAAUGAGAAAAUUGAACAGUAAGUGGGCAGAGUCAAGCAAAAUGCGCGUAACAAGUCUUCCGCUUAUUGUUUAUUCCAGUAAAGUGAAAAUAAAAACAGAGCCCACCACCCAUUAAUAAUUUAGCAAUUCACCAAUCACCAGUCACCACCACUCGUUACCAUGAAUAUAAUAAAUUGCACCUUGAUAUUUGCAGUGUCCAGCAACAUUGACCCAGUGUCCGGGUAAAUGCUGAAUAAAGAGGAAAAUGGAAUGUAUCCACUACGAACCUUCGCUUUACAAGUCUUCAAACUCAUAAACCAAGUUAAAUCAAAACGUUUAUCUCUCUCUCCCUUUUUGCCAUAUAAUUACUUUAUUUAUUGAAUUAAUUUCCAUGCUAAAACGAACACUUAAAAGUGCACUAUAAUUUUUUAUGAUCACAAUGGUAAUAAAUUUUUUUUAUAUGAACACUCUUUUUAUUUAUGAAUUUCUCAAUUUUUAAUAUUUUUCUCACUCUUUUAAUCUUAUUAUUUGUAUUUUUCUCUUUAAAUUUUCUUUAUUAUUUAAUUUUUAAAAAAAAUAUGAAAAAAAAAAUAUUAUACUUAAAAAAUAAUAAAUAUUUUAUGGGAGCUUAUUGACAAUGAAAGAGCACGUGAAAAAUCUCACUUCAUAUAAAACUUUGUGAAAGGCAUUUGAAUGUGUGGCCACAUUUUCCGAACGAAACGAUAAGGCUUUAGCCUUAUAUUUGCAAUUAGUUUGUCUUGUAACUAAAUUAUUGCCGACAAACACCAUCAUGCUGACAAACCGUGCAUGCACGUCCUCAAUCACCCACGUCCUCUACUUGUUUGAACCGUGAUUCUCAAAGACUUCGACAUCGUAUUUCCCAUUAUUUCCCGUACUUUAUGCAUUAUUGUUUUGUAUGGCUUUUGGUGUUUGCGGUGUAGUUAGGGAUGGUAGCGGGUAGGGUCUGGUACGGGUUUAACAUUACCAAACCCGCAUCUACAAAAAUUUUUAACAAAGCCCAUUUACUGUGGGUUUGGCUGGUGUGCCUAGAGCUGGCAAUAUUUGACACGAUCCGAUUAUCCGACACGAACACGACAUAAAUAAAUGGGUAUGGGUCGUCAAAUUUAACACGAUUAUUAAAUGGGUCGGGUCCGGGUCAACAUGAUUUUUUUCCGUGUCGGGUUUGGGUUAAAAUUCUUGACCCAUUUACCCGAUCAAUGACCCGAUUAUAUUUUCUAUCUUAAAAUAAUUUACAUAUUCUUAUCAUUAAAACUCAAAUAUUAGAGAUGAUUUUUUUUUAUUCUUUAAAAAGGUGAAUAUAAACACAGUGUUUUAUUUAUAAAAUUUUAAAUACAUUUAGAGCUUCAAUAGUGUAAAUGUGUAAAAAUUGAUAGACAUGUAUAUUUUAUAAUAUUGAUAUAUAAUAUUAUAUAUAUAUAAUUAAAACCUCAAUAGUGUAAAUGUGUAAUAUAUUGGUAGAUAUGUAUAUUUUAUAAUAUCGAUAAAUUAUGUAUGUUUGUAUGUACAUACGUAUGUAUGAUAGUGUGUAAAUAUUUGAUGUAACUUUUGUUCAAUAUAUAGAUAUUAAACGGGUUAUUGGGUAACCCGAUUAUUUUUCCGUGUCGGGUUUGGGUCUCAAUAUUUUGACACGAUUAUUAAAUGGGUCGGGUUUGGGUCGACCUAAAUUUGACACGACACGAAGCUGACACGACACGAACACGACCCGAUGACCCGUUUUGUCAGCUCUAGGUGUGCCUAGUGGAUAUUUUGCAAGUUCCCACUUAUAAAAUCAUGCUUGCAACAAAAUCUAAAAAUUUAAAUUACGUAAUUCAAAUUAUAAAUUUAUAACUGUUGCCUAAAAAAAACCACAUAAAAUACUUAAUUGUAGAUUUUAUCAAUGUAAAUGAGAAAUGAAAAUAUCAACAUUAAAACAAAUACACAAAAUAUAUCAAUUUAACACGAAUUCUCUAAUUCAAUUACCAAAUAAAUAAGUCUAUCACAACUCGAAGUGCUUUCAAUUAUUGUAACUUCAAAUCCUUACAAAUUACAUAUUACAGACAUGAACACUAUGUUUUGACAUAGUGGCUUUUGGCUUGUCCAGAGAAAUUUAGGAUAGAUUUUGAUGUACUAAGGUUCUGUUUACUAUUGAGAUUUUGGAACUUUUGAGCCACACUUGAAAUUUGUAUUAUUCUAAUAGAGUUGUAGCCUUCGAUAUGUGAUUGGUAUUAAUCAUGUGUUAUGUUUACAGCAGUUAAAGGCAUAUUGAAUCAAAAUCCACUUUUGAUUGAGAUUUUAAAGUAGGUUUUUAAUUUGAUAGCCACUCGAGUUCAAAUAUUGGAACCAUAGUGCUUUAUAACCAAGUGAGAGAACUUGUGUCCUAAAAGUUGAGGGCUGCAGAUCGAGUUUUACUACCAACAACAAAAGUUGGUGUUAAGACUUUAGUUCCCCUCCUACUAAUGGUUAAGGAUAAUUAGGACUUUACAUCCCCUCCUAUUAAUAGACAUGGGUUAUUAGGAAUUUUAAAAAAAGGUUUAAAUAUUGAAAAAUUAGGUUAUAAAAUUCAUAAUACAAGAACAGUAAAUCAAGAUAAAAAUUUAAAAAUUUAGAACAAUGAGAGCGUAACUUGUAAGUUUCAAAGAAGCAUGUGCAGAUAUAUGCGUAUCAAUACCCAUUAGGGGUGGGCAUUAAAAUCGGGUUAACCCGAACUGAACCUUCAAUUUAGCAUAGAUAAUGAAUUUAUGCCUGUACUCUAUAAUGCAAAUAAUAUUAUGUUUUUAAUUCAAUUUAGCACCCUACAAGAAGAGAUUACCUUAUCGCUUCCAAUCCUUCCUUUAGAUCUAAGCCACUUCAUGAACUUCUUGAUCCUUGAUUCGUUCCAAAAUGUGAUAGGAAGUAUAUUCCUAUCAGGCUGAUUGUUGUCAUAUGCACCAUUAUGGAGAUAAAAGAUCUGCAUGAGCAACUUAUAAUUAAGAAGAAUAAUAUUAUUCAUGGUAAGCAUAUGCUCAACUUUAGUUGCAGAAACUAUGUCACCUGUAGGAAGUGCAAAGAAAUUCCAAUGUAUGCUGCUUGUUGUUUCCACUAUUUCAUUGUCACCAGAAUGUGAGUUUGAAUGACCCAUCCUUUUAUCUCUCUUUUUGUACCUUGCCUUUUGUUCGGGAGGAAGUUCUUUGUAGGUUUUCCCAAUAUGUUUUCAUAACUGUCAAAAUGAUAAUGAAUAUGUCUUAAAACAUAAAAAACUCACAAAAUAAUAUCUGUACAUGCUACAUUUAAUGAAUAUACUAACCCCAAUCGUAACGGACAAAUCUAAAUUUUCACUUCUCAAACGCUUAACUUCUUCAUUGCUGCAAAAGCAUAACAUCUAAUUACUGAUAUUUGGUAUGGGCGUGUUUCUUUCCCGAUAGGUAAAUCACAACGACUACUUACAAGUAAGAGACAAAUCCAUAAGUUGAAGAAGUUGGAAUUGCAUCCUGACCAUUUGCUUUUAGAAUAAGAGCACUUUUUUUCUGUAAGCCCCCUAGUAGUUGUUUACGCUUUCGUCGGUGACUGUCCAAGAAAAAUUUUAAAUAAUUAAGUGAAGGAUAAUUAUUCCAUCAAUAUGUAUUAAAUUUUUUUUAAAAAAAUGAGUUCCCCCACCUGCUAUUCAAAGUCACUGUGUACUCCUUACUUUUUAAUCUAUAAACAUUCCAUAUAUGGUGGAAUUCAAGCACAAAUUAUAAUUUUAUUUUAUUUUUUUUCCUCAUUUAUACCAAUGAAGAAAAAGAUGACAAGAAUAACAAAGGAAAGAUCUUUAUUUUUGCCCAAGACUAAGACCUCUCACACACUCACAAUAAAUGAAUGACAGAGUGAAAAAAAUUGUAUAUAAUAAAGGGAUGGGAUCAAGAGCUCUCAUUUCUUACUACAAAAUUUACGAAAUCUAAAUAUUUCAACAACAUAAAAUUUAAUGGAUAAUGAUCUUUGCUGCAUACAUUAAAAUCAUGACUAUUACCGUGCCCUCAACUUUGCGUCAUACAAACAAAUUUCAUCAUGAAACAAAGUACAAUGCUUUUUUUUUUAAUAAAAACAUACAUUAAAGGCUGCUGCGAAUAUGUAGGGGAUGAUGGGUUGUAACCAAGAUCAAAAUCAAUGCAUUGAAACCAAUAUGACAAAAUCCAUACUAUGAAUUAUUAUAAACACCUAAUAUAGAGUUAGUAUAUCAGAGGGAUUGAUACCUGGAAUGUACUUCAGCAAAACAGGACCCCUGAAAAUAAGAAAGAAAAGUUUUGCUCAACAUUCCAAAAAAAUAGAAGAAAGUAGAGCAUUUUGUCAGCUCUUUUUUAAAAAUUAUAUCGUUGUAACUUACACAAAAUUCCACUUAGCACAAUCGUAAGAUUAAGAUAAAGGCCUGCUUGCUGCACCAGCUUGAUAAACUUCAGCAGAUCAGAAUUCCCCUCCAAGUAAUACUAAAACUAAUUAAAACAAAAACAAAAACAAAAAAACAAAAAAAGCAAAACAUUUACUAAAGAACUUAUUUAAAAUAUUACCCUAGAUUUGAGACUACAAGCAAACAGGGCCUUCUGAUAAAAACAAAUUACAUGCCAUAAAUAAAAUUAUUACAAGCCCACCAAAGAAAUUUUCAGGGUUAUAGUGAUUACAAACCUUCCCUAACUUUAUUUAUCUUCACCAAUGAAAAUAGGUCAACAUUUAACAUUCUUUUACAACCAAGUACACCAAGUCUUACAAUUAAAGGUUUAAGGUUACAAAGCAUAGUUACUUAAGACUCUUAGCUUUAUCGUAAGGCACCUUAGAAAAUUCUAUUACCACACAAAAACCUGGGCCUAUUUCUUAUAAACACGGCAACAAUCACAUCCAAGGUCAAGCAAAUUCAACAACAAGCCCAUACGGCAUAUACCCAGCACAUACAUUGGCCGAUUUGAGGCACAAUACAAUAGAAUAUUAUCAUAAAACCACCACAAUAUCACUGGAUUCGAAUACAGGAACAAUAGAAAUUUAAUUGUUCAAUUAAAUCAUUACCCCAAAUCACGAAUACCAACGAGACUACAUUAAUUCAUGCCACUGGCAGCAGCACAUUCUUUAAUAAAAUCCUUCAAACAUAAAAAAUCAGCUACAUGCAAAUCUAGAAUUUAAAAGGAAAUAUACAAUAAUUUUUUGAAGAGAAGAAAUGCCUUUCCACUUAUAUUCAAGAUAAUUCAAGAAAAUGACAGGCCCCAAUUCGCAGCUCAUCAAAACAAACCCCAUUACUUGCAGUUGCUUGAUGCUCGAUAAUGUUACCUCUCUUUUUUUUUUCAAUUUAUAAUUUUUUCUUUUUUGUGAAUAACGGAAUCUCAAGAUAAAAUAUUGCAGUAUGACUUAAUUGUAACUCUAUCGGUUCAAAAAUAAAAAUGAGAAGCCCUAGCAAUUAUCAUUCGAUUAUCAAUCCCUAGAAAUCAUCUCAAUAUUUCAAGUAAUAAUUUCUCAAUUGCAAAAUCAAAUUAUUGAAACUGAAAUUUCAAGUAAUAUUAAUAAACUAAACUGAAACUUCAAGCAUAUUUAAAUGACAUAAUAAGAUUCUUAAUCAUAUAUUAAAUUAGAGAGAGAGCUCACCGAAACUAUUGGAUGACAUAAGAGAGAGAUACAGCAAGAGAGAUGAUUUACGACAGUGAAAAUUUGAAGCUAUGACUGACGAAAUGAAGCUGAACGCGAGAAAUUGAGCGACGAAUUGAAGCGAGAGUGACAGAUCGAGUAAGCCUGAGUAAAUGGCACUCUUUCGACUACAUCUUUGCUCUUUGCUGUGAUGGGUGGUGAAUAUUCUUGAAUACCAAGUUCAUUGAUCCAAAAUUCUGGAUGUAGGAGAAAACAAUAGCAGAGAGAAUACGAAGGCUGUUAUUUUGAGGAGGAGAGAGAGGCAUCACAAUCCAACGGUUGUGAUUUUUUAGAUAAGUCAAGUGAUGACAUAAUAACUUAAAAGCUUCAUCUUCCUCUAGCUUCCUUUCGUGAAACCCGAAGCAAUUCCUUCCAUCUCUACGAUAUUAACAAAAGCCAAAAUUUUCAACCAUAAUUACAAUUAAUUUGCUACUUAAACAACGUGAAGUUACAAAAUUUUGGUUUCUGAAUGCGGAGUUAAAAACCUCUAACAUCAAUAUAUUGGGAAUUGUGCCCUCAUCGUCUUAAGAUUAUUUGUUAAUAAUUAUGUAGAAAGGAAAAAAGAUGGAUGAUUUCAAUUUCCACCAAUCGAUAUGCAUGCACGAGUCUGAACUGAGACUGAGAAGACUAUUAGUACAGAGAUGGAGGAAAAUAAUCUACUGAAGCACCGAGUUGGCCAAUUUGGAUUUUUCGGAGAAGGUUGAUCUUUAAAGUUCAUUGUUUAUUCAACCAACCAUAAAAAAAUUUAUUGUUUAUUCAACCAAUCAUAAACAAUCUUUUGUAUAUUAAAAAAAAAUUUAAAUGUUCCAGAUGAAAUGGUAUUUUGAAUAUUAUCUGCAAUAUUCACGUGAUUGGUACCACGUUUUUUAUUUUCUUAUUAACAAAAUUAUUUAUUUCGUAGGGACCGCAUUCACGCUUCCAAGUUUCUCAUACAUAUGAAAUUUAACCAUUGCGGUUAAUUAGCAAGUUUUGACCUGGGAAGUCGGAUCCGGCCCGCAUCCACAAGAAUCUGAAAGAUUCGGAUCUGAAAAAAUGCGGAUUCAGACGUAAGAAAUUAAAUUCCGCACGGAUCCCGAUCCGGAUCCGAAUACAAGUGCAUCAAAGCCGGAUAUUCGGAUCCGGCUAAUUUUUAUAUUAAAUUAAAAUAUAUAUAUUAACUUAAAAACAAAUUUAACCUAACUCCCACAUUCACACGCACUCACAACACUUUACCAGCAGCCGCAACCCACAAAUACCUAACACCCAAAUCCCCCCAAUUCCGUAGGAUGUCGCCGUCUGCCUCACGGCCUCGCCUAAGCCUCGUGUCCAAGCCUCGAUCUGAGUCGGUUGCUGUCGUUGCGCGCUGCACGCCUCGAUCUGAGUCGGUCGCUGCCGCUGCACGCUGCACGCCUCGAUCUGAGUGAGUUGCUGCCGCUACACGCUCGAUCUGAGUCAGUUGCUGUCGAAUCCUCGCCAUCGAAGAAGCCUCUUGCCGUCGAAUCCUCGCCAUCGAAGAAGCCUCUUGCCGUCGAAUCCUCGCCAUCGGAGAAGCCUCGUCUAAGCACUUUAAUUAAAAUGGUAUUGGCAAGCCUUGUUGAAUCCUUUGGCCUUUGUUGAUUCAAUUUAGUUUAAUUUUGAAUAAAUUUCUUUGCUGAUUCGUUUCAUCACUUUAAUUAAAUGCAUUAAUUUUCAAUAUAAUGUAAAUGUUUAAUAGGUUUUGGGAUUAAGUUUUAAUUUGGAAAAUUGUUGAAUUUUCAAAAUUAAAAAUUUAAAUGAAAUCUUGGUGAAACCUGUUGUCAUAUGCUGAUUAACAUAGCUAGUCUCUGAAAUAAUUUCUUGAUUCACUAAUUAUGAGUUCAAAUUUGAUGCAGAAUGGGCAACCAGCCUACUGCAAACAAAUCUUCUGGAACAGUUCAGAUGAAGGGACAGCCAAUCCAGCAAAACAGUUAUAAACAACUCUAAAUAAAUUCAUAUACGCAUUGUAACUAAUUACAGCCUUGAUACUUCAUUUGGUUUUUGUUAAUUUUCUAUACAGUUGUGCUGUGCAUUAAAGUUUUGUUAAAUGAAAUCGGUAGGUGAGGAUUAAUUAAUCAAUUAAUUAAGAUCCAGUUAAUGUAAUUAAUUUUAUUGGAUUUUUUUAAUUCGAGUUCUAAAUUAAUCAAUUAAUUUAGAUUCAUGUGAAAUUGAAGUGAAUUAGUUUCGAUCUGUUUUUCGUCCUAUGUUUGUCUCUGUUUACUCGUACUUUUUUUUUAAAGAGUAUAAGUAACAUUGCAGUACAGUUAGCCCUUGCGUGUUUAAUUAGCAAUUGAAAACUACUGUUGCUGAUGAGGUAGAACAUUAUAACACUGUUGCUGAUGAGGCAGCUGGUAAUUCUUCUGGUGAAGAUAUUAAGACUAUUAAAGCUGAAAUGUAAUUAGAGAAAUAUAAUGCAUUCCCUUAGUUUGCUUUUUGUUUUUUAUAUUUGUUUUGCUAAUGCUUUGCUUAGAUUGCUUUUUGUUUUUUGAGAUUUUAUUGGCUUAGUCAUGGGGUAUUGUUUUCUCUUCUAAUUUCUAUUUUUGUUGUUAUGGGAUUUGAUUGUAGUGUACAUAUACGAAAAUUAUGUAAUCAAGUGCUUUUAAUAAAUCAUGAUCGAUUUACUAUUAAUUAAUUAAAUUUAAUUUACUAAAAUUACUUAUGUACACGAUUAAAAUAAUUUUAAUUCCAUGAUAUAUAUACGCGCGCGCGCACACAAACAAAAUGCAAUUAACUUUGAAAUAUAAAAUAUUUAAAAUAAUCACCGUACUAACAAUAUUUGCCAGAGUCUGAUGAAGAGAAUAUACACACACAUAUAUAAGCGUACAGUGGAAGGAUAAAUAAAAGAAAAUAAAGUUUCUACAGCUGAAUAAUGCAAACUCAUUUUUUUUAAGUAUUUUAUUGUUUAAUUCAAAAACCCAUUAUAUACAUGAUAAAGACUCACCAACGCCGAACCAUAUUAAUUUAAAUUAAUUUUCAACUGAGAUUUGAAUUUUAAAAUUACAUACACAAACACGCCCAAUUUUUUUUAAAAAGUACUAACAAUAAAAUAUUUCAACCGUCCUCUGUUUAGCCGCCAAAAACUGAUUUACCAUUUAUUACAACGAAAGGUAUACAUAGACGGAUAAAUAAUGCUAAUCAACCAAGUCCAAUCAUAAUAAUUUGAUUAUCAAUAUAUUAACCAUGUCCAAUCAUAAUAUUUAAUAAUCACCAAACUUACAAUUCCCAAGUUAGAUUAUACGUAUGAGAAUCUAGCAAGUCCAAUGAUAAUAAUUUGAUUUUUAUUAUAUUAACUGUGUCCAAUCAUGCUAUUUUAAUAAAGAUCACUCGAAUAUUUAUUUGUCCAACGGGUAAAAUUUCAAAACAAUUUUUGCCAAAGUCCUCCUCAGCUGAAUAAUGCAAACCCGUUAUGUUAUUCUACCAUUUCUUAAAUUUAAAGCAUUCCACCAUUUAAUAAAAAAAUUCAAAAACCCAUUAUAUACAAUACAAAAAGCCCACCGACACCAAACCAUAUUAAUUUAAAAUAGUUUUCAAUUGAGAUUUGAAUUUUAAAAUUACAUACACAAACACACCCGAUUUUAAAAAAUAAUAAUAAUGCUAACAAUAAAAUAUUUCAGCCGUCCUCUGUUCAAUCAUCAAAAAUCCAUUUGUCAUCUAUAGCAACACUCGGUAUAUGGGUUAACAAGUCCCAAUAUUGUCCUCCAUCCUUUCUGCACUUCUCUUCUAUCAACGGACAACUCCAGAUCUGUAAUUGCAAAAGUGAGGAAGGCAGGCCCUUCUCUGGAAAGUAUUUGAACUUGGGACAAUCAUAGAGAUACAAAUGAGUGAGGUUUUGAAGAUCAACAAUUGAAGAAGAUAGGCGUUCCAGAUUUGGAAAAUCUUGAAUCCACAGAGACGUUAGAGAGGCAGGAAGAGGAAGCGCGGUCCCUAAUCUUUUGUCCUCUAGUGGAAAUGACACCAUCACCGUGUCGUCAUCACAUCCUUGGAUUAUGAGUUCUCGCAGAGAGGAGAAUCUGUGAAAUCCCCAGCCCCGCUCAAUCAUUGACUUCCAAAUCUCCAUAUUACCCCAAAUACAAAGUGACUGAAGGUUGGUGGGAAGGCCAUCUUCUUCAAGGCUUGGAAGCUCACCUCCUCUUCUUAUUGUUAAUUUUUGAAGAGAGGUCAGAUUGUGCAAUCCCUUGGGUAAGGCCUCUAGUCUCUCACAAUCAGAUAUCGUCAGCCUCCUGAGUUUCGCACAAGGCAAUCCCCCUUCGGGAAAGGACACCAGGUUUCCACAACUCCGUAUAGUAAUCCCUCGAAGCUGCCGGAGAUUAUGUAAACCACUCGGUAAAUUUUUUAGAUUUUCACAAUCAUCUACACUAAUUGUUUCAAGAGAUGUGUUGUUGUCCAACCUUUCUGCUAUUGACUCCAGCUUUGAACAUCCAUAAACACGAAGGGACUUAAGAGACGGAGGUAGAUUGCCAACUUCAAGGGACUCAAGCGUCGCAGGUAACUCGUUUUUUGAAAAUAUACAUGUCAGUGAUGGACAAUCCCUAAUUUCUAACUUCUCAAGAAGAGAUGAGGUGUACCUUCUGUUGCUGCUGCUUCUGCUACUCUGGAUGCCCUCUUCCACUGUCAAAGUCCUUAUAUUAUCGCAACACCAGAUCAUCAACUUCUUAAGGCUUGAUGGUAGCUGGACAGCAGCAAUAUAUGUCAACGAAUGGCAAUACUCAAUAU